UCAGCUCCGUCAGCGUCUGCCUUUUGGGUUCAUUUUCCUUGGUAUUGUAGCAGGGGAGUCAAACCGUUGCUUAUUAGAGACUCCACCCCAAACCGCAGAGAUCCUGCGGCAACGCUGGUGUCUUUGCAAGCAAAAUGACCGCGAAUCGGUCAAAUGCAAGGUCAGAGAUGAACGGCGUGGGAGUCAGACCGUAGGUCCAGGUCUACUCUGUUUGGCCAGAGCCGAGAUGCAAACCGCGAGCUCGCCCGGCAGCGAGCUUGGCUCCGGAUUGCGGGCGAGCAGCCAGGCAAAACCCAGCCGCGCUGCUCUCCUGUCGCGUUCGGAGAAGGCGCCGAAGGGGGCAGCGGCCGUGGGACGCGUCCCUCAAGCAGCCCUGUCGCCCCGCGAAUGGGUGCCAGCUGGAAUCGUGCACCGCGUUUCCCAGCCUCCGAUAGCAGCGAUGGGGCGGUCGGGGCGGGGGGGCACAAACAGCUUUGGGGGUGCAGCGAGCUGGCUGCUAUCCGAAAAAGACAACCGCGGUGUUUUUCUCUCUGGGAUAGCCCUGAAAGUAAAGAUAUUCAAAGCUAAACAAAAAAAAAAAAAAAAAAGAAAAUUACGUUUACUGAGCUAGAGCCUCGGCCUGUUGUCUGUCGGCUGACGGGCAAUUAAACAGGUUGUGUGUCUGUGGGUGAUAAGACAGGAGGGUGCGAGUGGGGUAUUAUUGAUAGUUUCUGGACGCACCGUGACCUGGGGAUUUACGCUGGGGAAUGAUGGAAGGGGGACAUCUGCCCUGGAACACCCUUUAUGUUCAGUUCCCAACCGGUUUGCUUUGAACAAAUGAAGCCGUGCGUCACCUGUGUGAGAAAAGCUUGCAGAGGGACGGGGCACCCGACUUCAGCUUCGAGAUCCGAUCUGGUACCGGCAGUGCUGAGCGUAAGCCUCGAGCUGAGCCUAAGCCUGGAGCUCACGAAAGUCAUGAUGGACAGCGGUGCGGGGCUUCGGGGGGGCAUCUGCUUUUCUCCUGGAUCUUCCAUUUACAGCCCCGAAAAUAAAGGUAGGCAACAUAUCUCCUGCUUUGCUGACCCCGUAGGACCCACGUUCAGGAUAAGCGAGGUGAAUGAGCGUACGUACCUACGUAUGCGUCAUUGCGACACGUAGGACGGUGCCUAAGGAUGAUACGCAGGUUAGAUGUGCGUUUUCCACCAGGCUAUGGGAUUUGUUCAGAGCUCAAAAUGAUUAUAGCUAAGGCGGGUUUUCUCCAGCAGUUGAAGUUACUGAGUGUAAUUAAACAAGGCGCAGGCGAUCCCCUGCACUAGCGAAGCUUUCCGAGGGAAUUAGCAGCAAAAUGGGAUGUAGAAUAAAACCCACCGGGCAAAUACGCCGUUCUUCCGUGCAGUCUUUCCUCCGGGAGGUUGAGACCCCCCAGGAUUCAUCCCGCUUCAGCUGCUCAGUGGUCAUGCCAGGUGCGAUGGGCAAUUACCAGCUGCAGAACCAGACACCGCGUCCCUAGCGCAUCUUGGUUGAUCCCAUGGAUGAACGUGGACGUUUGUGACUUGCCGUAUAAUAGAGGUGCCUUCUGUUUCUGGUAACACUAAUGACUUGGCAGACAGGAGGCAGAAGCAUCCUGCCUUUCAGGGUGAUGGGAGCCGUAUCUGUUUGGUAACGCUGGAUUUUUAGGUGGUGCUGGUGCUGCUGAAAAUGGCAUUUCUUCUUCUGAAACGCUGGUCUCCUGGUUCGGUUACGUUAGUUCCAGAGGCAACAUCGGCGGCAGAGAUCAGCCUCUUCGAUAACUUCGCGUCUCUCUGGAAUAUGUCCUUCCCCAACCACCUCUAGUCUAACAGCACCGAUAGUGAACGUGAAUGAACAAAUUCCGCAUGAGAGAUCUGCACGCCAGUAGGUCAGAGCUCUCCCAGGCAUUCCUACGUGACUGCUAGCUGUUUACUAUCCUAAUAUUUUUUUUUGCUAGCAGAUGAAGGAAAAUGCUCUUCCCGUCUUCCUCCCCAAAAUCACUGGCUUUGUACGCGCUCGGUGUGCUGGUGCUAGCUUCGUCGGGGAAUCGGGUCGCGGAGCUAAAAGAUGUAUUCAGAUACCGGGGUACGUUGGGCUGCUGCUAUGCUCACUCCUCCAAAUUGUUUAUUUAAAUAGAGAGGAGCCUUCUGAAGGGCAAGAGCUCAUUUUAACAGGGCUCCCGAAGGGGACUUCGGGUCAUCGGUGGGAUCGGCAGAGCUGGCAGGUUUCACGCUGCCCCGGCUGCCAAAUGAUCAGAUCUUGGAGGUGCAGCUCGGGACUGGACCUGACAUGCGUCCAGAGCAGCUCACCAUCCAGCCUAGAUAACGGCAGUUGGAAAAACAAGGUGAUUAGUGGAAGGGCAUGAACACGCAGGUCAAUAAAAUGGUGGUUAUCGUUAGAGCAGUGGAAAAAUGCUGCGUAUGACCAUCUGGGACCCGCGUAUGUGAACGUUUCUAGGCAAUUGCUGCUCAGCUCAGAGCAGACCACGUUUUGGAACCUCUCCACCCUGUUUCCCUCUCUCCUGGUGGGACCAGGGCAGACUCUUUUGUCCCUCAAUGCUUAUUUUCUCCCCCUAGUAGUGCAGUCUGUGUCUACGGUAUCUUUUUCAGAAGAAGGGUAAGAAUGGAUGAUCCAUCGAUCAGGACCUGUACCUGCAGGUAACCUCACAGAGGGCACUCUCUUUCUUUCUGGAGGACGUACCACUUUGGGAUGUCACUAAUGAUGUGAUUACAAGCUUUGGUCCAGACUCUGCUCCAGUUCAGGUUUGCCCACCCUCCCGGUUAUUUACACGGAGUGGACGGAAGCCCUGGGGCUCUCUAGGUGGGAUUGCUCCCACCUGAACGUCCCCCAUCCUUGUUCCUGCCACCGGCACGGCACAAACCCACGCGGCCGGUGGAUCCUGGCUCCGUGGGCUUGGUGUGCGUGUUGCCCAAGGGGCGUGCAGACCACGAGACUUGCUCAAGCGUGCUCUUCACCCUGCCCCGGGAACGCUUGGAGUCGUAGACCCUGCAGGGCUUGUCACCCCGUUGCUCCCGCUCACCAGGCUGGGGGAAAGCCUGAACGCCCAGCAGACCUCCCUCCCACGCUGCUUUGAAGGGUCUGUGCUAUCCCUGCCGGGCAGAGGAAAGCCAGGAGGCACCGGGGACAAAUAAAGGAUGAUGAAUCAGCCGUGCCAGGAAGUGAACCUUGUUCUUUAGGAGAGCUGGAUCUUGCCAGCACAAUAGCUGGAUUACAAAGCCAUUUCCUCCAAUUACCUUCGCUGUCAAACCUCCGUGUCGUCUGGCACUAGGAGAGCUCGGAUCCAAAUUCGUUGUGAAUUGGGGCGACGACACCAGAGAUUUCUAAAUUAAUAUCCUGCCAAGAGGAAUUGAGCUUGUUUUUUUCCAAUCAUGUCAGUUCUGAUUCCUUUGCUUGUCAGAGGAAACUUUGGCUUGCCAUCUGGUUUCAAGGGCACGGGUUAGGGAAAUUGUAGGUUGCUCGGCCCAGCACGUUGAGUUUGCUGCGCAGCGGCUGCAGGGAGCUUUGUGCCGAAAAAAGAAAAAAAAAAAAAAGAAAAAAGAAGAAAAAAAAAAAAGAAAAAAGAAGAAAAAAAAAAAAAAGAAAAGGCUUUGUAGACCCUUCUCGGCACCUGUCAAAAGUCAAAGGGGGAGACCAGAGGCAUGGGGUGAUGGUGAGAAGGACAGAGAGGGCACAAUCUUCUCCUUGAAACAGCGGGAAUGUGCACAGGGAAAUCUGAGUGUGGUAUAGGAGUCACGUAAUUCAGAAAAAAUGGAUUAAUGGGCUGUACAGAAGAUGGUUUUGUGGUGUGAGCUGAACCGGGGAGCAUUAGGAAUUGACUGGUGCAGGCAAGCAGUGUGUGAGCCCGUUCUCUGGCCCCCAUCCGCUCUUCUGGAAGAGCAAUACUAACGAGUUAAAUAACGUCCAAAGCUCGAGGGGUGCCUCCAGCCAGAAGACAGGAUCCCGCUCUAGCCACCCCCUUGGCUUUCUGCCUCGGCUCCCUUGGCAGGGAGGUCUCUGAUGUCCCCCUUCUCCGCGUGCAGCUCGGUGCCGGAGGUGGGCUGGCGCCGAAAGGUUGGCAAUGAGAUGUUUCCGCAGUGACCUCCUCUCUGCAGAAGGGUGGUGGCACAUCUCUCCUUGGUGGCUGCUCACCAGAAGUGCCUCGGAGCCCUUGCCUUUAUUCGACUCCGGGAAACGAACAGAGUGUUGCGCUUACAGGGCUUUUGGAAACCCGCAGCAGAGUGGACUGGGAUGCGUUACUGUCCUCUUUGGGUCUUCCCAAAGAAGUGUUCAAGGCCAGGCUGGAUGAGGCUUUGGGCAACGUGGUCUAGUGGAGGGUGUCCCUGCCCGUAGCAGGGGGGUUGGAACCAGAUGAUCUUUGAGGGCCCUUCCAACCCAAACCAUUCUAUGAUUCCCCGAGGAAACCAUGAGCCGUUCUGGAUGCAUUUAAAGACCAUGGUGUGUCUGCUCCGUAGGCUAGCUGAGAUACGCUCAGCUGAACGUCAAAGGACUCCUUUGCAUUGCAAAACCCACGGACCUUAAAAUUUCCAGGAAAGGAGCGGCACGUUGACCAGCUCCUGCGCUGUAAUGCCGCCUAACUGGGGUCUGGUGGCCGUGUUACCCCAAAUACGGGCUUUUACAGGCCGGCCUGACCCUGGGACAGCGGUCUCCACAGCUGAUGAUGAUGGCAAUGCUGCGGAUGCAGAAGGUAAGCUGCAGUGGGGCUGGUGGGAGUUGGGAGGGUCUGUGUGACCUUGUCCCAUCUUCAGAAAAGGGGGGAGGCACAGGUUGCGGGGGGAGGACCACGCAGCGGCAGGGGACUCCGGGAGCAGAUUUGGGGUGCUGGCGAGCUGGCCAGCUCCAUCAGCAGAGCACGCUGGUGUCUCUUGGGGGGAGAAGGAGCCUCGUGAGGUGCUCUGAGCGCUCUCGGCUGCCGGAGAAGCACGGCUCCUUUGUCAGGGCACCGGGCGUUGGCAGCGGGUCGCCUCUCCACACAGGCACGGUCGGCCCUGGGUGCCAGCGUUCCCGCCCAGCCGGUGGGAAGGGGGCACCUGCUUCCCCCCGCGCAUCCCUGCCGUCAGCUGCCAGCGCGGGGACCGUCCCCGGGGCCCCGUCCCUCCCCUCCCGGCCCCUCGCAGCCGCAGGAGAAGGGUCUCCUCCGUGCACGCGGCAUCUCGGGGCGCGCAGCGCUACCACUGCCGGCCGUGCCGGUGGGGAAUUUGGAGAGAUUUCCAGACCCCGUGAGCCAUUUGUACAGAGCCAUCUGCCUGCACUCCCCCGUCCCCCCACACUGGGUACCGAGCCCGGGUCCGGCACGGCCGUGGCGGAGCUGGAAAGACGCAGCGAUGGGCGACGUCCCUUUUCCCUUAACAUUAAACCCCCGUCCUGCCUGCGCUUCGUCCUUACAAAAGGACGAGAAACACGGGCGGCCUCGUGCUCUCCGGACGAGCCAGCAGCGGCGGAGGUGGCGGUGGUCAGCGCGGGGGCUGCGUGACCAAACACCCCGUUUAUCAUCUCCCAGCAGCCGCGGCUCCUUAUCUCUUCCCAGCGCUGGCACGGCCCGUGCCAAAAGCCAGAGCAGAAGAAAUCGGUCUCUGUGUCGUCUCCGCAGCUUUUUUUUUUGCUUUUUCUUUUUUCUUUUUUUUCCUUUUUUCCUUUUUUCCUUUUUUCCUUUUUUUCUCCUUUUUUCCUUUUUUUUCUCCUUUUUUCCUUUUUUUCUUUUUUCUCUUUUUUUCUUUUUUCUCCUUUUUUCCUUUUUUCCUUUUUUUUCCUUUUUUCCCUUUUUUUCCCCUUUUUUUCCUUUUUUUCCCUUUUUUCCUUUUUUCCUUUUUUCCUUUUUUUCCCCUUUUUUUUCCUUUUUUCCUUUUUCCUUUCCUUUUUUUUUUUUUCUCAGCCGGUGGGUCCCGUCUCGCAGCUUGCUGGGUGCUGGUGCCCUUGGGUGCUGCGCCCUUGGGUGCCGGGGUGUUUUUGGAUGCUGUGCUGUGGGAAACGCUGCUCGCGGCUGCUUCAGCGAGGGGCUUCUGGGGGCUUUCUCGCCCACGGCUUUAUAAAUUCGAACAGAAUGUGGUUUUUGAAAACUUCAGCUCUGAGGCACGCUCUCUUUUUAAAUGGUUUCAGUGGAAAUUUGCACUUCAGUGGACGUGUGGAAAAGUGGUGUUUUCAAAGUGAAAAUGAAAUGAAAACCAGCCUACCCUCUCCUCCCCCCCCUUCCCCCAGAGAAACGUUAUUUGGAAAGCGGGGCCUCUGUUUCGAAAUACCCGAAGCACAGACACAUCCUUUUCACUUCCUCCGCUUUGCCGUUCCUUUCUUUGCUUCUAUUACCCUCGUUUUCGUCACGCCUCGCCUCCGUCCCCAGCCAGCUCCCAGCUCCCCUCGUCACUCGCGGGCCGUCACGGGAGGUCUGCCGAAGUGCCUCGCGUCCCUGUUUUCCAGGGGGUUUUUGGGGGUUUUUUUGGGUUUUUUUUUGGUAAAAUGCACUCAGAACCGCAACUCCCUAUAGAACCGUUGUACUCUUUACAUAAAUUAGGCUUUAUAAUUUACGCCCACUUCCCUGGGGCUGUGCCUGUGAGCUUGGCCGCCGUGGAUCCUGCCCGUGCACGGGAAGGAAAGCGGGUGGCUUCCCCGGAGCUGCUGCUUUACGUGCAGACGGGGACCCCAUUUGCACUGGCAGCUUGCUAAAAUCCUCACGUCCCACUGCGCAUCUUUCCCUCUCCGACUGGGGAGACAAUGCUGGGUGCUGCGGUCCCGUGAGGCGGAUUUAACGCGGAGGGGUUGUGCUGCGUGAGCUCGUGCCGCGCGUCAGCUCAGACGCGGUGACCUGAGCAUCGUGUCCGAGAAAACUUUCUUAUUUAGAGGUUGUCCCCUUUGCUGGGGAAAUCUGUGCAUGGAAAUAGCUGGUAGCCAUGCCUAGCUCUUCCUCCAGCUCAUCGUCGCGCGGCCGUGCAAGAGGAACGGGCAGCACAUACAAGGAGGGGAUGUAGCAGGGUGACGGAGGCUGCGGUGGGUGACGUGACGUCGGUGCGUUCAUAGCCGGCUAGACGGAGACGCGAAGGGCGCGCCGGAUGCCGGCUGCGCGUCGUGGAGCCGGGCUGGUGGAGCUGAGACGGGAGGGAUGCUGCCGGGCGCGGGGGAGGAUGGACCCGGCGCUGCGGAUCGGUGGCGAUGAGACGCCGUGUCUGUGCAUUGUACGAGGAGCUGCUCACGUGGUUUCGGUCGAGCCAAAAUAUGCUUUCAGAAAAGAGAACAGACCAGAUGUCUUAUUAUUGCCGCUCACAAUGCUGUCCUCCGGGUACAACGAUCCAUCAGGGGGCUGGGCACAGCCCGACAGAAAAGUCCCUGACACGUUUUUACAGCAGGGCCAGGUUCUCACCACUUGUGUGCAUUUGUACCCCUUGACAAAUAGCUGUUUGACUUCGGUUUUGUUCAAAGUCGCGGUGGUGUCAAGCACAGGGCUCCUAUUCAAGUGCCCACCAACGGUGGUCUGCAACUCGCCGUUUCCUCUUCUUUUCUUGCUUUGUUUCCUCGUGACAGUCACUCGGGAACUUUUUUUUUUUUUUAUCUCACAGGGUUUUUGAAAGACAAUCUUAAAGGAUUUAUCCACAGCAAAACAGUGCCUCGACUAAGGACUAAAAAUGGCUUGAGAUUAUAUGGUGUGAGGAAUUCCCAUUUGCAUUGAUAUGUUGCUGACAUGACACUUAAUUGCCUUUUUUUUUUUUUUUUCUUCUUUUCUUGGUAAUUUUCCCAACAAGCUGAUUUAUAGAAUUGGCUGGCAAAGCCUUGCGUACAUUGAGACGUGCAGCUCUUUCUACAGUGGACCGGCUCGUCCUUAAUGAACGGUUCCUCUUAAAACUAGGAGAUGUGCUCCUAACUGCUCUGAGCGCCUUGAGCAUGGAGAAGAAUUAGCACCAGGUUACGAGCUGCGGCGUUUGUCCUGCCGUACCAACCUGCAUCGGUAAGGCGUUGGCUUUAAACUGCUUUCUAAGUCACGUGUGUGCCCGAAGUUGCCUACAGAGAAGGGACCCCAGACGUGCCGCGGGCUGUACGAACACGUAGCGCAAGGACAUCCCGGCCUGCGGCAGCCGGCAGCAGCGCGAGCUCCCAGCGUGCUGCUCACCCCCACGCAGAUCAGUCCGUGCAACCCUGGCUGCACAGUGCCAAUAUAACGUUUUUCCCUAGGUCUCCCGGUUAUUAAAAGUUUGGUUUUAUAAACGAGGAGUUCUUUGUGUUCUCCAGAGUGUGACUUUGCCGUACCUCUCUAGCUGAAGUUCCCCUUUGACUUCAGUGAGCAUUUUUGUGUGCUCAGACAGCAUUUUCCAUCACUUGAGCCUGAAAGGGAAGAGGAUUUAUGGAACGGGGAGCGUGAGGCACCAACUCAGCAAAUACCAAAGCGUGUGUGUAAGCGUUUGCAGGUCGGAGACGUAAGUACACAACUGGUCUUGAUCUUCAGCCACCGCGUAUUGCUGGGUCCAAAGGCUGAGCUGAGAACACGCAACACACACUGCAUAUCGACGUUUUGGGAUGGCUUUUCUAAGGAGAGCUUUCUCUCUGCUGCGAUCUUGCAUCUUCUGAUCACUCUCUGUCCCAGCCUGUUUAGUGGACUUACAGCUACUCAGCACCCUCGGCAGAUGCUGAACGUCACAUUGUCGGUGCAGUAGCUUCGUUAUCAUCUUAUGGUCUUAGUCUCCAUUCUCUUGGAGAAUUUUGGCAAGUACGUUGUGAUGUAUCUGACCUAGCAUUGUUUCUCUCCUCCUGACCUGUUGAUGUCCCCCAGCUACGGGUCAUCGUUACGGAGGUCUUUGGUGGCCCUUCCCAUGCUCUUACACCCCAGCCUUCAAAGUCGUCUCUCAGCAGAUUGCUUCUUUCUAGCUGGGCAAAGCCUGGGGGGGGUCUUGUGGCAGAUAACGUGAGCGUCUCAACUGGUAAUUGUGAAGUCAGGAUCUGUAAUUAAUUUUUCUAUAAAACUCUCUCAACCUUAAGGUGAACCUUUAUCCACCUAUUAAUUAGCACAGGGAAGGGAUGCACUUGUCUAGAAGCAGAAGGUAAAAAUAGGAGCAGGGAGGAAAGAGAAUUGGCUCCUUUGAGUGAUAAAUAUUGUUCCCUUCGUGUCUUAAAUAAAAUGAGAGUUUGGCUAAAAGCAGCGUGGCUUUAACUCUCACAAACACAGACUUAAAAAGGAUUGGAGAAAAUAGUCCUGGAACAGGCACCAGAGACCCCAUCCAGCAGAUUCCUCUCGUUCCACGGCAAACUCAACGAUACCUGUGUGAUUCCGUGUACGCGUUUGUUUAACCUGUUUCUGGGACUGUCGAAAUGUUCUUUCUUUGCAAACACGAGGCUCAGGAGCACACACAGUCGCUUGGGUUCUCGGCUUGACCCCCGUGAGUUGCGGCUUUGGGAAAAGCACCAAAUAUCGCAAAAGCUGUUAACACUUCAUUAUUUGCAUAUAUUUUUUUUUUCUCUUUAACGGCAACAUGGAAGCAGUUUAAAAAUCCUGCUGUGGAGGGCUCUGUCAGAGAAUAGAUUUUACUUCCCCCCCCCCCAACAAAUCUUCAUGCGGAAUUGAUUAUACAGUCCUAUGUGCUACAGCCCUCUGUGGAAGGAGAACUUGAUGUACCUCCAUCCACAUCUGCGGGCGGCAGGACUUGUUCUGCCAGAUUCAAAGGAAAGAGAAGAGUCCCCUAAGGAUGAGAGCAAUAUCUAACAAAAGCAGAUCGCGUCUGACAAAUCGUAUUAAUAGUGAGGAUUCAAAGUCUGCUGAGCUGGAGAGCGUGGCAAUACGUCCCCGUAGUAGAUGGUAAGGAGACCUGCUUGAGGAGCAGGCAGCUUUGCCAAAAAAGAAAUGCAGGUUAAAGAGAAGUCAAAGUAGAUAGUCAAAAUGUUUGUUGGUUGGCUGGACUAGCUUAAAAAAAAAAAAAAAGGCAAUUUCAGUUGAUUCUGUUGAAGGCUUUUCUCUUGGGAGGAAAGGUAGAAAUGCUUUUGAUCCAACAUCUUUCAUUUGCCCUGAAGAACUACAUUUUUUAAGACUAACAUGCGAAAAAAAAGAACCAAAAACCCAAACCAACCACAACGGGGUUGUGUUUUGGUUUGGUUUUUUUUCUAUAGGUAGAAAGUAGCCCAUAGCUGUAUUAGGUGUGACCGUAAUCUAUCGCUAAGCACAGCCCGGGGUGGUAGGCUAACAGCAGCUCAAAGAAACGCCGUCUCCACAAGCGAUGGCAACCUGACUUUCCACCUCCCCAUCUGGGCCGACGGCUACCUUCUGAAGACCGUCGCGGCGAUUAAGGGAUGCACUGCUAGUACAUUCCCAAGCCUCCGAUGCUCACGUAUCCCACUUAGAAAGCUAACGGGAGAGUGCCGUGUUGUAACACCGUGAGCUGCUUUGGAGACAUUUAAGUGUAAGUGCAUUAAGAUGAGAUUUAUGUUCACCGCUGAGCCUUGAGAUUUCUUCCAGGAGAUCGCAGCGUGCUUGUAUGUCUUGGCUCUGCAGGUUACAGGGAUGUUGAGAGAUAGCUGAGCUAUCACGGGAGGUUCUGAUUUGUGGGGUUCCUCAAGGCAGGCAGCUUCCCCAGUGGGUGCGAUUUUUUUGCGUGUGUGUUUUUGGUUUGUUUUGUUCAUUGCGCAAUUCCUUGGCAUAACGCCUUUCACCUUGUCUCCAAAUGAUUGUUUUUCCUCUUCGUCCCACUCGGUGACUCAGGUCAAAGGCAUCUUAUUCAGUGCAGUAUGUUUCUUGGGUUCUUUUUUUUGUUUUUGUUUUUUUUUUUUCUUUUCCAGAUGUGCGUGAGCUCUAGGACGAUAACUGGAAUGGAGACAAGUGUUACGAGUGGCUUUGGUGCUCAGCUGCAGUUCUCCCAGAAGGUGAAAGAGGAUGAGGCUUCGAUGCAGUACGGAGGACCCUCACUUUCCAUCCAGCAGCAUUUCAGAUGGAUCCACCACCCAAGCAGUGGCUUCGGUGUACUCUCUGGAAGACGCAGUGAUUCAGCACAGAUCCUCUCUAGAGACGGCCUCACGAAAUGAGGGUUCAAAGUCCAAACCUGGAAACUGCACAGGCCUCCCUACUCGCCUCCCAGCUGUUGCUAAACUCAUCCAGAAGCUGGUCUGAGCGGGAUGUAAAACCCUCGGUGCCCAGUGCGUCGGUCUGUGAGAUCAACCCUGGCUUCUCCUGCCCAGGUCGCUGCCACCAGCUCUGCCCAGCCCCAGGGCUGGCCCCAGUUUACCCAGUGGCGGUGAUUGAAACGGACCCGGCGGCAAAGUCUGGGGUGGCUCCUCAACUGCGCUUACGCCGGAGUCAUUUAUUUUGGGUGUCACCUGGUAGAGGAGGACUGAAAAGCUCUGCUCCUGACAGCCGGUACGGACCCUGGCUGAACGGGAUCACGAAUCGCAGCAGGAUGGUGGAGGUGGGAGCAGGACAUCUUUCUGAAGACAGAAGGCUUCAGGGGCUCAAUAGCCUUUGAGGUAUUUUUAAUUGCUUUUAAUAAUUCGCCUCUCCUUUGUUAGCAUCAAGCAAGUUGGAAUCCAGAGAAAAAAAAAAAAAAAAUCUCAUUGCUUGGCAAAUUCCCUGAGAGCCUGCCCCGGCUUUUUGUCCGAGGACACCUGAAGGCUCGCUUCCUCCCUCCCAUCAUCUUUCGGCGGGAAAAAGCGGUGAUGGAGGAGACGGGCCAUCACCUCCAUCGGCGGGGCCACCCGGCAGGUCCCCGCGCCCGGAAACCAGGGCAGCGCUUGGGGCUCUGCCUGCUUUGUGUUCCCCUCCCCGAUCCCAGGCCUCCUUCUGGGCUGCGCAGAGGGGCUGGAGGGCUCCCGGAGCCUGCGCGCCGUCUCCCAGCGAUUUCCGGCACUCUCUAGGGCUGCUUUGCCUUUCUUUUUGGUCACGCCAGCCCACCCUAAUGAGCAAUUCUGCCUUGCAGUUGACUUUUCUUCCAGGCUGCUCGAUUUUGGAGGUUGCAAAGAGGCAGAAAAUCUGCAAAAAUUUACUAAAGAGGAAAAAUGUUUAAUAAACCCCUAAAUCGAUGCAAAUUCUGUGGUGCUCUGGAAACGCUCCGCGGUGCGAACAAGCGAGGAUGGGCUAGCAAACUCUGGGCACCUGCCAGAUGCCAUAUUCUCUUCUAACUCCGGAUUUUAUGAAUACAACUUCACUCCAGGCUGAAUAUCCCAGCAGAGCUAUCGUCUUAUUAACUAGAGAGGUAAUUCCUCUGUUCCAGCUCUCUGCAGCUGAGCUUAGGGAAUUAUUCAGCGACAGCUCUGCUCUGCAGUCCCACGGCACGGCAAGUGAGGAAAACUGGAGGAAUACUGCAGUUGGGUAACUCUCACCCCCCCCCAAAAAAAGAGGUAAAUAGAGAUAAACAGGUGCUUGGUAAUUUAUAUUUUUAUUUUCCAGAUAAUCACCAGUUUUCUCUUUAUUUCUUCCAAGCUCUGCCUCAAUAUCUCAUAUCCUUUGGAACUCGCUUUGCUGGUUGCGCGUCAUUGCGUCUCUUUUGUGGCGUUGUUUUUACCUGUUAAAAAUAGGGUUUUUAAAAGCGGAUUUUUCUUUUUCUUUGCCUGCUCUUCGCCUCGUAAAAGACUCGUUGCCAAGUGUUUGAACCUCUGCGUCAAUCAACAGUAUUUUCUGCAUCUGAAAAGGAGAAUAAUUUGAAUUCAAAUGUGACUUCAAAACUUAGAGUUUUGGGGUUCCCCCCCACCACCCAGGGUUUGAAAUAUAUGUAAUUUUAAGAGCGUUUCUUAUAAGUACUUACGUCAAAGUAACUUGUAACUACAAUCUUUUUUUUUUUUUUUUUUUUUAACAGAAGGUUGAAAUUAGUGAUAACGAGACUUCUGGACAACUUCACUUGAAACGUCGCUACUUUUGAAAGCUGUGGAAAAAAAAAAUCCGGGAAACGCCGUCAACUUUUUUUAGAUGCUUAAUUAAAAAAUAACCGUGAUUCCGGGUAGGGCCUUAUCCAUCCCUAACGCCUUAUAUUGUCACUGGCGAUGGAAACCCAUCCUAGGCUGCUGUUGUCCUCUUCUCCUGGACCUUGCUCAGGAGAGGACUCGCUUCUGGAAGUUCUGCCGCACGUAACCAGAGCUCGUGGCUCUCCUAACUCACUCGGACACAGCCAGCCUUGCGUUUUCCUCGCAGGCUAAUGCCGUGCUAAUUUAAAAACUGCAACACUGAAAGGCAAACAAAGAAGAGGAUUAGACCAAACUAGUUCCAGAGCACACGUCGUACAUACUAAUGUCUUGUUGAAACAGAAGGAGGCUAAAAAAAAAAAAAAUAAAAGUACUGCCCGUGUGCUUUAACGAGGAUGCAAGCUGACUUUCUGAAACCCUGCCUCCUUUUGCCGAUCAGAUAGGUGGGAUUCUGCAUUGCUAACGGGGCCAAGGUAAUGAGAUUAUGGUUUAUCACUUUGGAAAAUAAAGCAGUACCGCUGGAAGAAUACAAUUUAUAGAGGAAUUGGGCUAAAGCCUCAGUACGAUCACUUGACUCUCCUCCUCAGGUUGUUUUGGGGAAGGCAGUGAGCCUUGCAAACGUUUCCGCGUAGACAGCUCUGCGUCUCGAAGCAAAAACCUUCAGCCACUUCACGGCCUGAGUUUCAUCUCCGCCAGACGACAGCCCGAGCAAAGUCGGCUUUGGCGAGAAACAAACACGCAUGUUUCGAAUGCAGCGGCAUGUCACAGAUCUUCUUGACCCAGCCGGGCAGGCUGCGUGGCAGAAAACGUGCGUUCCUUAGGAUUUUCCCCAAAUCCUGCUGCCUGAUCGCUCCGCACCAGCAGGAACAGAUCGUCUGCAAGCAGAGGAGGAAAACCUCCGCGGUGGUCAUCCUGACCGACGCCGCGCACGUCCGUAAGCGGAGCUGUAGCAUCCGCUUGUGUUUCUCGCCUCUGCAGCUCCGAGCAGCGACCGCUCUGCCGUGCGGCAGCAGCACCGGGACCCCGAAAGGCGCAGGGGUUAAGGGAUAGGAAACGCUUUUUCCGGCUCCGCGCCUGUUUCUGGCGGGUUUUAAAAGUAGUUUUACAGUUGCGUUUCUUUAUCUUUGCUCCCUACGAAAUCCCCCGCCAUGCGGAGCGGACAGCGCUGCCGGGAAGAGAAGAGAGAGAUCGAUCUCCGCGAAGGAAGAGCAUUCCCCCGCGGCAGUUGCUGCGAGGUAGCAGAGGGGCUAUCUCAGCCACCCUUAAACUACUAUUUCAGUUGUUGGCAUAACGUGCCUCUGCGGCGGGCUCGGCGGGUGAGGAUUUAACCCUCCCCGCUCGGUUUCCCUACCGGCACGCUGCAGGUCUGGCUUGCAGGGACGCAGCAGCAAGCCGAACUCAGCCUUUAGCAAUCCUUUCGACCCUUCCCUCUCCUGUUUUGCUUUUCGCAGGCGGGAAAAUAUUUGCAAGAGGGCAUCGGGCGAAAGGUGGCUUGCUUUCGCUCUGACGCAGGCCGUGUACGCGGCUCCUCGGGACUGGCUCCCCGGACCACCAAAGUCAGUGGUGCGAGUCCUGCCGUCACUUAGGGCUUUGCUGGACUUGCCGGUGACCGGAGGAUGCGUGGGCUGUAGCGUCCGCGCGAGAAAUUCCGGACGCUUAAGGAUUUUUGACUGAGUGAUUUUUGGAAAACGUUAGCUACGGCUUGGCAUCCUGCCUAAUCGCUCCUCCUGGAGGAUCCGUAAUUUGCUCUGUUUGGGGAAUUCGGGGGCUUCCCCCCUCCCAUGUCCAAUUUUUAUUUACAGAACCUCGUACCGAUCUAAGAGCUGACGGGUGGUGCCAGCUUUCCAUUAGCAAGCUAACGGUAAUCCCCGCUUCUCGCUUUAUCCAAACAAACCCGGUGCGCCACAUUCCUCCUGUCUGCUGCCGCGGUGGAGACGCGGUCCCGGGAAAGCCGAAGCGCGAUGCGAAAAGAAGCGAGAUAGGAGAGAGGGGAAGAGCUGGUGCUCCGGUGCAAACAUCUGGUGAUACUGGUCCUGCUGCUCCCUUGGGUGGCAAUUUGAGUGCAAACGCUCUAGUGAAGCUCUUGGAAACUCCUUUUGGGGUUCAGGGUUGUUUUGAAUCCCUUUUGCUCGUUUGUUUUUUAUUUUUGAUUUGCAGCACGUUAAAGCCGAGCCAUGAAGCCCCGGGUGUCAGCUUCCCCUUGGGGGACUCUCCUGGUCUCCUCACCCUCCGCUCAGGAGCAGCGUUUAAAAUCCCGGAGGAGUUUUAAAUACGAACGCGCGUGGGUUCUUCCUUUUCCAGUUCACAGCUUUCAAAGAGGCAGGGUGGGUUUCCCCCUCCCUUUAGCAGAGAAAGCCAGGCUUCUCACCCGCAAGUCAAGAACAAAAGAUUUUAAGAUACAAGUAUCAAAGCAGAGAUUUGAAUUAAAGGGCUCGGCGCUCAGCGCUCAGCUUUUCUCCCCCUCUCCCCCAUCCUCACUAGGUCUCAGAUGAGGCACUUGGGAUUUCUCAGCAUCUUCCCGAAGCCCGAGGCUUUCCGUGGUUUAUCCUCGCCAGCCUCACUGCAAGCACCACUGUCCUACUCGAGCAUAAAUCCCCGGAAUCUAUGAGGCGGGAAUGGGAUUUGGGGUCAUUAAAUGGCGGGUAGCUGCUAAAACCAAACCUUGGCUGGUGGGAAGCAGGUAGGGCUGAAGCAUCUUCCCCUCUGGCCCGCAGGCGCCCGCGUCAGUUGGACGUGCCGUCAUUGCGCCCUGCGUCCCACGGUUUGGCUGUCACCCCUUCCAUCUCCCUCCUGACGAGCGGGGGGUUGCAGGGUGCCCGUCAGGGCGGGAUUUGCCCUUUCGUGUCAGUAACUUCCCCGACGGCCUUUUUGCGCUUUCAUCUCCUGGCUGUUACUGCCGAUUUAUGCAAUUUGGGGCGCCGAGCGAUGCGGCAGCUGUGGGGAGGAGAUGAGAACCAGAAACCUCACAGGCUUCCUAGGAGACUUCUCCAGGGAUAAAUCUGGGAUGGAGGAAAGCCUGCCCUGAUCCUCUGUGCGUGCUUCGGUGUGUCGGGAAAGGACCGCACACCCUGACGACGCUCUCCAAAAGGAGACGUCGCCUCUUUGUUUCUUUCCUCCGCGGCUUUUUGGGAUGCUGGAGCCUUACGACCGCGUUGGCUGGAAGAUGCCAUUGAGUCGACGCUCAUCUAACACAUUCAGCUGUCAACGGCUCUCACCGGACGUCAUUCUCCCUCCGUCACGCAUGAGCACUUGCAUGUCGAGCUCCCCGGGCACGGGCUGGAGCCCACGGGGGAUUACAAAAGGACCGGGGAUUACAAAGAAAUGUGGUAUCUGUCAAGGCGGAGACUGCGCGGCUCUGAUCAGCGAUUAGAGCCACGCGGUGCGAGGGGCCGUACAAAUUGCUGCCGAUGGAGAUGUUCUCUGCCCUAUACAUUUUUUGCGGUGCUUGGCUGUUAAUCUCACCGUGGGGGCUCCAGGGCGUUUCUGCCAUCGCUGUUGAAGGCGGGAGAUGUUUGCUGAGUUAUUCCUUGUGCGGCAUGAGGCUGGCGUGGCUUCAGUGCGUAAGUUGAAGUUCAGAGUGAAGCAGCCACGAGGAGAUAGUGCCCUGCUGAUUUCUGGUUCCGGAAUGCCUGCGGUCUAUUCAUUUCUGGGGGAGAAGAAAAAAAAAAAAAAAAAAAGAGAGGUGAGUCAAAAUGAAGAAAACUGGUGCAAUCUUGCCCGGGCCUGGGGAGCCGUGUCCCAUCUCUUCAUGUGAUGCCAUGAGGCAGAUAUGGCUCGUCCAUCACUCCGAGGCAUGUGUCUAAGCCUUCUAAUUAGCGAACAUAACCGGAGGUUUGGAGCUUAAACUGGUUCUGACCUGUAUUUUUUAAUUAAGGCUUUUUUUUAAUAUAACCCCUGCUUCAGGUCAUCUGGUAAUUCUAAUCUGGACAGAAUGCCUAACCUUCUUAACCCUCGAUUGUUACGUCUGCGCUUUUAAUGCCAGUCUUAAAGAAACAUUGCCCCAUAAAUUAGACGCCAGGUAUUAAAGAGGAACAGAACCGCCUGCGAAUUAAAAUGCUCUUCAGGAAUAAUUGGACGGACCCUGAAGAUCGGCUCCCAGCUGACGUUCUCGUAAAAGCACAAAAUACUUGUGUUCCCCUUGUUAACGCUGCCUUGCUCUCGUUUGGUCUGCUUGCCCGUGGGGUCAACAGAGGGGGGGGUCCCGUCUUCCUAUUGCCUGAUAACGACUCAAACGGGGCAGGGUUAGUAUCUCCAGAUGCUUUUUGGGAUCGUUUUCAGCUGGCUGAUGGCCACCUAUUCCACUUGUCUCUUGGAAAGAGGAGAUUUUUUGAUAAGCCUAAGAGCACUGCAGAGGAGACCCUCGUUCCUAUCAGCAGACGGGACAACCGAGCAAGUCGAGGGAUUAACGAAAGAAAACCAAGCGCUGCGCAAUUUUAUGAGCGCCUUUUUAUGGGUUUUUACUUAUCCUGUAUUGUUCUGCGUGUAGCAAUAUCAUGCUGAGAAUCACAAGGAGAAAUGCUAAUUCAGUGUUUUUAUAUAGGGGAAACAGCAUGCUAAGUGCAUUCCUUAAGUCAGUCCAGAAACCGCCUCCUGGAAAAAAAGUCAUGAAAAGCACAUGUAACGCCUUGUCAAGCUCGGCUCUUUCAUCUGGGAUAGCUAAAAUAUUUUCACUGGGGGAAGAAAGGUUGCUGGGUGGUUGGUUUGUUUGCCUGUUUCUGGAUAAAGAUCUUCUGAAGGUGGGAAAGCCCCCGUCUUCCAUCUGACAGGCGGGAAGGUGCUCUCCAGUGCGGCCCCUGGGCAUCGUUUGGGCUGUGAUUUCCUAGAGGAGCCGAUAACAAAAUAUAGAGAGAUCCAGAGAGAGAGGGGCACAAUUUCUUUCCUUGCUUACUAAUUCUGGUAGCUUUCUUACGAGUAAGCAGCAUAGCGUAUCAGGCAGAGGAAAAACUUCCUCAUCUCGAAUGUCAUGAAAAGAAAUUGAGGAAUGGAAAGAACAAACAAUUUGGGUGAAAGAGCCUCCUAACUCCAAACCAUCCCCACCAGUUCUCCAUAGUACAGCGUUUCAGCCAUUCACAGCUCAAUUUACCACCUAUUUGAUGGGGGAAGUGUUUACGACACAUUCUCCGCAUUCCUUUACCAGAAGUGCUGUAAAAUUGGA
Grus americana (Whooping crane) is the source of this 18013-nucleotide RNA transcript. It is a transcript of the gene named atypical chemokine receptor 3, with no coding region annotated. The transcript has 6 exons. The record is from RefSeq and is a predicted model, not a curated record. NCBI's taxonomy places the organism in Eukaryota, Metazoa, Chordata, Aves, Gruiformes, Gruidae.